UCCAAAAUUUUCUUUUACAAUGUUAAAGUUGCAGUUACUUUGAGAGUAAUAAUAAACAAUGUGUAACAUUACUGACUAAUAUGAAUUGAUCGAAAUACUCUUACAGCUAUAUUGAACACAGGCAAAUUACAGUUUACAUGCAAAUGUAAAUCAGAGAAUAUAUAUUUAGAGUAUUGGAAAGAUCAGCUGGGAUUGCAUCACUCAUCCAACCAAAGUUCUGAUUGGUCGAUGACCUUCCUGUUCCCAUUGCCGUGAAAGCUCAGCCUAAGACAAGGAGCAUGUUAGUGCAAACAUCUAAAAGCCCAGGAUGCAGUUGGAAAGGCGCCGCCUGCCAGAAUGUCUGCGGAACACCAGUCAAGGACCAAGUUGGUUGAUGAUGUCAGGGAAAUACAGCUCGCACGAGGACGUUCCCUGUCGAGUACCAGAUAGAAGAUGGUGUCAAGAAGGACUAACUCCAGCGCUGCAGACCGAGCUUCCCUGGUAUCUGAUUCCGAACUGUACUCUAUCGAUGUCAUGAAUGGCAUAUAUGAAACCAAUUUAGAGUGGUGUUAUAGUGACCGUGAUGGUCUGGAGAUGAUUAAUGACCGAAAUCCGUAUUUGAAAUUGAAAUUUAUGUGUUUUUCCACCAUGUGUAACCGAGGAUAUUGUCAAUAUAUGCAAGUAACACUGUUAAAUUUACUUCAAUCUAAUUAUUAGUAAGACUCUCCUGCAUAAUUCAAACGGGAAUGUCUAUGUGAUUAAUAUUAAGUAUCACUUGGGCUAGAUAACUUGUGCAAAGGUUAUAUAGUAGUGGAAAACAAGAGUUAUUCUAAGAAAAACAAUAGAAUUGUAACCUACUGAGGUUACCCAUUUCGGAAAACGUGCUGUCAUCAGAUGUGAAAAACGAAUGCCAGUAGCGGUAUGUUUGAAAGCCGGUUGUUAAUGAAAUGCGGUAUCACAAAUUACUUGGCACUGGAUAAGGUAUUUUAGGAUAUAGAUAACGUCAUAGAAAUAAGAAAAUAGAACCAACGUUUUGUGUAAAAAUGGUGAUGUUUCAUGGUUGACGUCACACAAAUGGACCUUUGUGAACCUAUGUAAAACUUUUAUUGUAAUCAUAUAGAGUGAUCAAUUAAUAUCAAUUUAUGAUCCUGUAACUAUGGUAAAUGUUAUGUCUCAAAAUUGUUAGUGAGAUUGAUUACUCUGAUUACUGAUUACUCUCUGCUACACGUUCCUAAAGUAAAGUUAAUGCUCAAGAGCGAGUUCAAAGACAAAGAGUUUUAAGGCCGGGACUCCAAGCUGGGUGCUCAGGUCGUGAUUCCUCGAGAAACAGUCAUGACCGAUUCUCAACGAAGAAGACUGAAGGAAGAAAUCCACUGAAAGUGUCAGAGUUAUUACUAUGAGGCAUUUGUAUAAGUUGUGUUUGUAUGCUCUGAUUUAUUGUGUGAUCUAAUAUACGGCAUAAGGCAUGA
Molecule: long non-coding RNA, 1448 nt
Filed under: Penaeus japonicus
Lineage: Eukaryota; Metazoa; Arthropoda; Malacostraca; Decapoda; Penaeidae
Description: uncharacterized LOC122243888
Source: RNAcentral